Non-coding RNA from Podarcis lilfordi (Lilford's wall lizard), 2062 nucleotides. NCBI's taxonomy places the organism in Eukaryota, Metazoa, Chordata, Lepidosauria, Squamata, Lacertidae. The record is from the annotation of a GenBank genome assembly.
AUAAUCUGUUUACAUCAAAAUAUUGUUUACUCAAGCUCUCUGAUCUCUGGGAAUUUGCAUCCUGCUGAAAAGAUACAGUUAACUCCCAGCACUCAAACACACAAGUUUCAGCUCUCGAAGGUAGAUAGAUUAAGAAGAUCUGACCACUGUGGGUUUCCCCCCUUCUCUUUCUUUCUUUCUUUCUUAACUUAACUCUCCUUGAUAAAGCAUUAAAAUGCCUUUGACAGUUAACCACAGAUGAUAAUGCAGUCUUGAUUCCAUGGUCCCCAUCAGAAUGGAGAAGUUACAAGACCCUCAUUGCUCUGUGAAGAUCAUAGGGGUCCAGCCCCCUCCUUGCUGUCUUGGCGUUUUCAGGACUUUUGUCUUCGUUAGCUAUGUUGUCAUUAAUUACUUACGGAAAGGGGGGAGCAUUCAUACUUACGGCAUUUUGUAAGGAAACUCAUUAAAAUAUUGGAGAAAAGAUCAGUUUGCAUGCAUUUCAACAGGGAAUACUUGGCUUGGUUAAAAAGUUGUCAGAUGGUAGUAAAAUCUCACCCAGAUUUUCUGUCUGGUGUUUUUGUCUCUUGUUAUUUCAUUAGAAAAUUAAAUAUUCAAACUUACAUUUGAUAAACUUCAUAUUUUUAAAAUUCUCAUGUGUAUGCAAAUUGUUAGAGAUUUUGAAACUGAAUUAGAAACAAAUUCUUUUCUUUACCUUUCUUCUCUCUAACCCCCAGUUCUCUAUUAAAUGAAGGACUCAAUAAACAUGUGCCCCCAAAUAAAGAUGAAAUCCUGCAAUUUGUUCAGUCAUGCAAUAUUUUACACAUAGAAGGAUGCAUUCCCAACUCACAGGGAAAUUUAAACCACAUAUUUCCGAUUAACAUUGCUCAUUUUAGAUAAAUGUAAAAAUUCUGGGCGUAGCUUUCAAUGCAAAUCGUCCCACUGACUUUCAAUGGGGCGACUCAUGUGAGUAAGGUAGUGACCCCUAUUGCACCACAGCCUUCAAUGACACUUUAAAAAUGGGCUUUGUGCCAGGGGCUCCUUACAUCAACAGGCCGACGUAAAGCAUGUUUGGAUUGCAAAAUAGGGACGAGGUCACGCACCGUGUAAACGUUUCAUUACACUGCGUCCCCCCCCCCAAGUCACUUUGAAUCAGCCUUUCCUUAAAUGACUUGCAUUUUAUAUUAAGGCUGCCAUUGAAACCUGGUCCUAUCCUGUCUGAAUGAAUGGGUUCCAUUGCAUCAAAUGCAUGGAGUUAGGAGUGCGAAUCAAUGGAGUUACACCAGGGAUUAAUUUGGCCCAUUUAUUUCAAUGGGCAUUCCAAAGAGAGAAUAAGUGAUUAGAAUUUGACCAGUGGCAAACCUUACAUUGUUUCUCAUCAGUACAAAAUCGAUACAAAUGCCAUUAUGUGGAUAAACAAUGGGAUGUGGCUAUGGAUUUGUACAAGGCAGAGGAGGGGAAGAUGUACCAGCACUUAGAUUAUGUAGCUUCUUUGCAAAGAAACCAAGUAAAUGUGCAAAUUCCUUAACUAAGUACUGGUUAAAAUGCCCUGGAAAUUUAAACAAGCUUUCGUGUUGACUUAACUAUAAAAUAAUGAACCCUGUCUCACCACCCUUUUCCCAAAUACUAUUCUAAUACUUGCCAUGCAUCAGGCAAUGAUUUCUGAAUUCAGAGGCUAAAAACAAAUGUUUGCAUCUCCAAAUACUGUAGUUAAAUCUUAACAAUUGAAUUUUUGAUUUGUAAAAAAUUAAAAAUGUAUUGACUACUCUGAGGGUAGUUAAAGUGGGAAUGUCUGGCAAAGUUUAGAGAAUGCCUCUUACAUUUCACUGGAAAAUAAUCCAUUGCUUAAGACUGAGCAAAAAUAAAAAUAGUAACAAAAAAUUGGGCAGAGGGUGUGGGAGAUAAUUUGUAUUAUCUUGGCACUUUGCAGCAACAAAUUUUUCUUGUAUUGUUUUUCUCUUGCAGAAUGGAAAUAUUAGUGGCCUGCUGUAUUCUGAAACUAUUUGAGCUGAAGCCUCCUGGAUUCAGAAAUGUAGUUGAUUUGCUGGAAACACAUUUCCAAAAAACAUCAUCAGGGAUCUCCAGG